Molecule: unclassified non-coding RNA, 513 nt
Filed under: uncultured Clostridia bacterium
Lineage: Bacteria; Bacillati; Bacillota; Clostridia
Description: 16S-23S ribosomal RNA intergenic spacer
Rfam family: tRNA (bases 241-314)
Source: RNAcentral
AAGGUGUAAAUACCUCAAAAAACGAAAUCGUCGCAAAGAAGCGUAGUUCUGAGUACUGUACGGUUUUGAAGGUACCGAAAGUUCCUUCAAAAGAAAACAAGUGGAAGCAAUAACCACGCACCGAAACGCAAGAGCGUGGGGGUGUAGCUCAGUUGGUAGAGCGCCUGCCUUGCAAGCAGGAGGCCAGCGGUUCGAACCCGCUCAUCUCCACCAUACGCAAGAGAGCGUAAUGGUAGGCAAGGGCUCAUAGCUCAGUUGGUUAGAGCGCACGCCUGAUAAGCGUGAGGUCGGUGGUUCGAGUCCACUUGAGCCCACCAUUAGUACCUUGACAACUGCAUAGAGAAAGAUAGUAAAUUCGCGGAGAAAAAGACAUUAGAAAGUAAGAAGUAGGUAAUGUAAUUAUCUGCUGCAAUUUCAAUGGAUUUAGAAUAAAAGAAAAGCAUUUAUAAGCAAAGGCGAACACACAGAGCACGUGUGUUCAAGACUCAUGCGUAAUAAGAGCUGAGAAGCAAU